CCUACGGGAGGCAGCAGUGAGGAAUAUUGGUCAAUGGGCGCAAGCCUGAACCAGCCAUGUAGCGUGAAGGAUGACGGUUUUUUUGAUUGUAAACUUCUUUUCUGUGCGAUUAAAGUGUGGCAUUUAUGCCAUAUUGCAGUUAUCUCAGGAAUAAGCAUCGGCUAACUCCGUGCCAGCAGCCGCGGUAAUACGGAGGAUGCGAGCGUUAUCCGGAUUUAUUGGGUUUAAAGGGAGCGUAGAUGGUUUUUUAAGUCAGCUGUCAAAUGUAUGGGCUCAACCCUUAUUAUCAGUUGAAACUGUAAGACUUGAGUGCGGUGUGGGUACAUGGAAUUCGUGGUGUAGCGGUGAAAUGCAUAGAUAUCACGAAGAACUCCGAAAGCGUAGGCAUUGUACCAUAGCGCCACUGACAUUGAUGCUCGAAGGUGCGGGAAUCAAACAGGAUUAGAUACCCCAGUAGUC
Molecule: ribosomal RNA, 459 nt
Filed under: uncultured Bacteroidales bacterium
Lineage: Bacteria; Pseudomonadati; Bacteroidota; Bacteroidia; Bacteroidales
Description: bacterial SSU rRNA
Rfam family: Bacterial small subunit ribosomal RNA
Source: RNAcentral